UACGUAGGGGGCAAGCGUUGUCCGGAAUCAUUGGGCGUAAAGCGCGUGUAGGCGGUCCGGUAAGUCCGCUGUGAAAGUCCAGGGCUCAACCCUGGGAUGCCGGUGGAUACUGUCGGGCUUGAGUACGGGAGAGGCGAGUGGAAUUCCUGGUGUAGCGGUGAAAUGCGCAGAUAUCAGGAGGAACACCUAUGGCGAAGGCAGCUCUCUGGGACGGUACUGACGCUGAGACGCGAAAGCGUGGGGAGCGAACAGG
This 253-nucleotide ribosomal RNA is filed under the name uncultured bacterium. RNAcentral describes it as "partial 16S ribosomal RNA". It matches the Rfam family "Bacterial small subunit ribosomal RNA", at positions 524 to 776 of the family's 1533-position model. The record is from RNAcentral.